RNAcentral lists this non-coding RNA (74 nucleotides) under unclassified sequences. RNAcentral's name for it is "L13-Bacteroidia ribosomal protein leader". It matches the Rfam family "L13-Bacteroidia ribosomal protein leader". The record is from RNAcentral.
AGGGCCCCCAGAAAGGCCCUCUCGGAGCGUGUGAAUAGUCCGUCUCAUUGGCCUGAACGGACGGUUCGGGAAUC